Psammomys obesus (fat sand rat) is the source of this 351-nucleotide long non-coding RNA. RefSeq lists it as uncharacterized. The transcript is spliced from 2 exons. The record is from RefSeq and is a predicted model, not a curated record. Lineage: Eukaryota; Metazoa; Chordata; Mammalia; Rodentia; Muridae.
CUCACAGAUGGGUGCUGCAAAGACUGAAGAGGCAUCCAAGGGCAUGCUGAAGACAGAGCCCGCUACUCCAGACUGCGUGCAAGAGGUAGAAAUGGAGUGAAGGAAACUAACAGCACAGCUUUCAAUGUGCACAGCUGAGGAUGUCAUCUGUGGUGCUGGGGCACAUAGUUCUCAGAUCCACUGUGAUUCAAAAGAAAGGAGGGAGGUGAGGUGCCAUCGCGGCUGGCUGAACCCCCUCCCCCAACCAGGGAAUCCUCUGGGACAUCUAUGUUGUGGUACAUUAUUGAAACAAGAAUCCUGUCGAAUUGAUGUUUCAAUCUUCAGAAAGAAACUGUCUUCUGUAUUUGAAAA